This 1776-nucleotide unclassified non-coding RNA is filed under the name uncultured fungus. RNAcentral describes it as "sequence contains 18S rRNA gene, ITS1, 5.8S rRNA gene, ITS2, 28S rRNA gene". The stretch from base 637 to 1776 matches the Rfam family "Eukaryotic large subunit ribosomal RNA", at positions 1 to 960 of the family's 3401-position model. Lineage: Eukaryota; Fungi. The record is from RNAcentral.
GGAAGGAUCAUUAACACUCGUUGUUACAAACUCACCUUGCGAACACGCUGAAAAGUUGUGGUUCUUCCGGGUAGCUCAUGAAAAAGGCCACCGUGCACAGCAGCGUCAACGCUGCGGUGUGCGGGGGUCGAGCUAACUGUGUAAUUUUUCGCCUCACCAUUAUUAUCUCCAUGAACUUGAACUGAAACUGAAAACACAUGACCCUAAACCGUCGUGUGCAACCAAAUAAAAGACAACUUUUGGCAGUGGAUAUCUUGGCUCUUGCAUCGAUGAAGAACGCAGCAAACUGCGAUAAUUAAUGUGAAUCGCAGAAACCUGUGAAUCAUCAAAACUUUGAACGCACAUUGCGGGCUUCCAGUGGGUUCGCCUGCCGGAAGCCAUACCUGUUUGAGAAUUGGUAAUUCACUAUCAAAACCCAGCAAUGGGUUUUGGACAUGAGGUUGAAGUUCACGCAAAGGUGUCCGGCUCGCCGGGCAUUGGGUUGAUGAACCUCUUCCUUGAAUAGAGUUCAGCCUUUGAAGAGCUGCCUCUGCGUAUAUUAAGUAAUAUACUGCAUCAGGUUUGCGUGGACGCAAGGGCCGAUCAGUGCAUCACCAACUAACGCUGCAUCAUUCAUGCGCGGCGUUACUUACCAUCUUAUCUCAAAUCAGGUAAGAAUACCCGCUGAACUUAAGCAUAUUACUAAGCGGAGGAAAAGAAACCAACUAGGAUUCCCCCAGUAACAGCGAGUGAACAGGGAAAAGCUCAAAGUUAAAAUCGGAGCAAUCCGAGUUGUACUUUUGAGAGACGUUCCUGUGGGUUCUUGAGGUAUAACUUCCAUCUGAAUGGGAGAUCAAAGAGGGUGAAAAUCCCGUAUUUGACCUUAUAGAACCUAAUACAGAGCGUUAUCGGAGAGUCGGGUUGUUUGGGAUUGCAACCCUAAUUGGGUGGUAUACUUCAUCCAAAGCUAAAUAUUGGCAAGAGACGAUAGCGAACAAGUACCGUGAGGGAAAGAUGAAAGAACUUUGAAAAGAGAGUAAAAUAGUCCUUGAAACUGCCAAGAGGACAAGCGAUUACGGCUGUUGUUGUGUUACUCAAUCCUCUUUCUGUGGGGUAAGGCGCCAGAGAAGACAGAGCCCUCAAAGCCUGUCCCUUUGGUUCUCGAGCUCUGUGGGAGGAUGUGAUUGGGUAAUGCCGGUUAACGACGGUUUUCGCUCUGUGGCGCGUACGAGGACGGUAGCCUUCCACUUCGGUGGUUAAGGAACUUAUAGCCUCGUGGCCAAAGCAGACGCGGGGACUGGCGACAAGUGGCCUUCCACGGCCACAAGGACGUGUCUGACUCAGCGGGACAGUGCGUCAAUCGGCUUUACAAGUCUUCGGACGGGCAAAGUACGAGGGCUCACUGGACUGUUGUCUCUAGCGUUCUCAAUGUUGACAUUUCAUACGGCUUUAAUCGACCCGUCUUGAAACACGGACCAAGGAGUCUAACAUAUAUGCGAGUAUUUGGGUGGCAAACCCAUGAAUGCGAAAUGAAAGUAAAGGGUGCCUUGUGCACCUGAGGUAGGAAUUCUCGCGCCCUUCGGGGCCGGGAGGCACUAUCGACCGAUCUGGAUGUUUUUUGAAGAUUCGAGUAAGAGCAUAUCUGUUAGGACCCGAAAGACGGUGAACUAUGCCUGGGUAGGGUGAAGCCAGAGGAAACUCUGGUGGAGGCUCGAAGCGAUACUGACGUGCAAAUCGUUCGUCAAAUCUGGGUAUAGGGGCGAAAGACUAAUCGAACCGUCUAGUAGCUGGUUCCCC